Molecule: long non-coding RNA, 1004 nt
Organism: Coregonus clupeaformis (lake whitefish)
Lineage: Eukaryota; Metazoa; Chordata; Actinopteri; Salmoniformes; Salmonidae
Exons: 3
Source: RefSeq, a predicted model, not a curated record
GAAGCUAACUGCUGAAAGGCCUACAGAUAAUAAGAAGGGGUUUCGAGAGCUAUAGCACCCUCCAGCUGUAAGAAAAGUGAUGUCAUCAUGUUCGAUGCGUUCAAGUGGAGUGUGACACCGUAGCGAGCAGCGUGGAUUUUGGACACACUCACACCCGGCUUUCUGUACAACAUUUCCAACUUGAUUCAAUCUACUCGAAUCCGAUUCUGUGUUAUCGUACUGCACUCUUCAGAUUUUUCGGCGUAACUUGGAGGCUUCUCUGAGACAGUGUAGGCUAAACGCGGAUGCUGAACGAACCAAGAAGAGGAAACGUAGCAUGCUGCGUGCGCUACUUUUCUUUCAUCCAUAGGCUACAUUUGCUUCAGAAGUUUUCUCCCCAAAUGUAAACGACGGCGACAGUUUUUUUGUCUUUGGUUGUUCAUGCACUUACAUUUUUUGUGCUAUUUAGUAUUUUUCCUACAAAAUAGACCAACAGUUCCAUUGACAAUAUUUUAGAAAAGCGGGUGGUCUCCACGACGGAAUACAAUUGGCGACUGAAUGAAUUGAGGCCAUACGACUGAAAGGAAACAAUUAAUUCUGCACAACGACCUGAAUGAAUUAGGAUUCUUUAUCGCUAUUCACGUGGCCUGGAGAGCUUGGUCGUGUUCCCCUGCUCAGACAUUGCAUGCAUCAACCAAUAGUUGUGUGCCACAUCAUCAACUGUGCUGUUGGGCACCAGAUUGCUAUAACAGAUAUGUUGUGCAACAUGCAUAAAGGGGCAGUUUCGUCAUUCAAAGAAGUGAAGCAAAGCAACCCCCCCAGAUGACCACAUAUUUCUUUAACAAUUCACUCAUCCCUAGUAUAAAUGUUUUCUACAGUUGUAGUGUUUUUUGUUCAAAUGAUAUCACAUUUUCUGUCUAAUCUGACAAGCAUUCACGUGGGAAAUAUAAAUGCAUGCUUUUCUAAUGUUGAUAGUUGAUAUCCUGAGGAACACUAGCUAGCAUUAGCCAUGGCAGAAAGACAUG